This is a long non-coding RNA of Sapajus apella (tufted capuchin), 732 nucleotides long. RefSeq lists it as uncharacterized. The record is from RefSeq and is a predicted model, not a curated record. NCBI's taxonomy places the organism in Eukaryota, Metazoa, Chordata, Mammalia, Primates, Cebidae. The transcript has 3 exons.
ACAAAGCAAGACUCCAUUUAAAAAAAGAUAGUAUUCCUAAGGACUGAGAGGGGAAACUGAGGCAUGCAGACUGGAGUUGGGGUGGGGCUUGGCGAGAGAAUGAGUUCAAGUAACCUGUGAAGGACUCUCAGAAAGUCACAGCAACUUAAAAAUCAUUUAUUCUACCCCCCACUUCCACAUUUUCCAGAAAUAGAAACCAAAGCUGAGAGGGGAGAGAUAACUAUCCAAAAGCACCACGUCGGUGGGAAGUAGGGUUCCCAGAGAAAACACAGGACAUCCAGUGAAGUCAGGUGCCUCCUGACCUAGCAGACCCCCCUGAGCCCAGAUCCCUGGGACCUGGUGGCUGCCUUUAUCACAUUCCUUGACUCCGCAUCUUAGGACCCAAGUCUGACCCCCUUCAGGAUCUGCAGCUGUGUUACAGGAAAGGGGACCCGAUCUAGACCCCAAGGGAGGGUUCUUGGAUCUCGUGCAAGAAACAAUUCAGGAUGGAGUUGCUGUGGUUCACACACCUCUGGCAGCUGGGUUCCUUGGGAAUCUGACAUUCUGUGCCCUCUGUCCCCUCUGCCCUCACUGCCAUUGCUGUCUUCCUGAGCCUCCUCCCUCUGAAUUUCUUCAUCACCAAGAAGAGGAAUCACUGUUAGGUUUGGCUUUUGGGAAAGGGAUGGAGCAGGCAGGCAGUAGGGAGGGAGACACAGGCCCUGGUGUGAGCGAUGGGCAGGGGAGAGCUGAGUG